Molecule: long non-coding RNA, 1406 nt
Filed under: Homo sapiens (human)
Lineage: Eukaryota; Metazoa; Chordata; Mammalia; Primates; Hominidae
Description: HSALNT0011376
Source: RNAcentral
GGAAGUUAAAAGCAGUGAUAACAUUAAAGUUACCCAAUGCUGCUGUUAAGGAACAAAGGCAGCCAUGGAGAAUACAUAAAUGAAUGGGCGUGGCUCCGUUCCAAUGACUAUUUAUAAAAACAGGAGGCGGGCUGCAUUUAUUCUGCAGAUAUAACUUGAUGACCCUGGAUGCAAAGGUUCACUUUAGAAUAUUCAAGAAGAUAUCCAGGCAUUAGCCUGAGCUGGAAACUUGGGUCUCCCACAGAAAGAACUAUCUUCCCGGUUUUCUCUGGAAAUGAGUGGAGGGAAUGAAAAGAGUUAACAGAGAUAUGGCAUGAACAUGUAUUAGAAAAAUGAUUCACACACAAUAGAAAAAAUAAGUAAGACCAGGAUUGGGUGGCUUUGGAGAAUGUAAUUUCAGCUUGAAUAUGAAGAUGCUUGUAGAACAGUGUUCCUUCCUCUGAACAUGGCUACAGAAGAACAAAUCAGUUAGUCUGAAGAUGAAAACAAGAAGCUGAUGGUAGACACAUUCUGAACUGGCUAACACAACACUCUGAAACUGGAGGAUAUCAACUGAUAAGAUAUGAAGUUCUCCCUUAGUUUCAAAUACACUGGGUUCAUAAAUUAUUGACAUAAACAAUAGAUGUCCCAUCAAGCUACCAUGAAGAUAGCUAGGUCUGCACAACUCCUCAAGUGUCGACCCCUCCAAGCACAUCCUCCACCUGGAACUGUGAACUGAAUGGAUAAAUGUGUUGGUCAGAAAGGUCUUUACAUCUUUGAAUUGUAACGAUCAUGACUAGUUGCUGAGUUUGCCACCUCCCUGCCUCCCUGCCCUCUACCUUCCAAGAAUUAUCAUUACAAAAAUAGCCAUUUGGCUUAUGGCAUAAGCUUUAUCACAAAGCUUGACCCAGAUUGAAGAAUCCAGGCAAUUUCUAGCCAGCCUUUUAUUUCCUUCAUGCACAGGAUCAUGGUAGAGGCUUAGCAUUUAUCAAACUACAGCUUUUCCCCAAAGGAAAGGGAAAUGGGAAUAGACUAGCUGCUUCAGUGAGCAAAACAGGUGGAUAACAAAUAAGAGAUUAUUGGCAGUUUAUCAGGGUCUCUUUGCUAAAACUCCUUGUCAAAUGGCUAAGGAAAGACAUUGAGAGAAGGCAUGUGUGGGUGCCUUGAGAGCCUGUGAGAUCUGUGCUCUUGAAGCAUUUUGUACUUUUCUUAAUGAUGCUUAUCUUACUCUACCUUAUAGUAUAAUUAAAAGGCAAGUUUUCUUCUUCUGAGGUGGUAAGUAUAAACUUCAAAUAGCAGACAGAAAGGAGUUAAGGGGUUCUAUGUGCCUAUCCCAGCCAGCCGCAUUUUGUCAUGGUCUGAUUGCAAGGCUGGUUGCAACAGUUGGGAAGCAUUUGGCCAGUGGGACAGUUUGAAAUGGAAACAAG